This 76-nucleotide transfer RNA is filed under the name Erysipelotrichaceae bacterium. RNAcentral describes it as "tRNA-Thr". It matches the Rfam family "tRNA". Rfam says of the family: Transfer RNA (tRNA) molecules are approximately 80 nucleotides in length. Their secondary structure includes four short double-helical elements and three loops (D, anti-codon, and T loops). The record is from RNAcentral. Lineage: Bacteria; Bacillati; Bacillota; Erysipelotrichia; Erysipelotrichales; Erysipelotrichaceae.
GCCGAUUUAGCUCAUCUGGUAGAGCAACGCAUUCGUAAUGAGUAGGUGGCCAGUUCGAGUCUGGCAUUCGGCACCA